UACGAAGGGGGCUAGCGUUGCUCGGAAUGACUGGGCGUAAAGGGCGCGUAGGCGGCUUGCACCGUCAGAUGUGAAAGCCCCGGGCUUAACCUGGGAAUUGCGCUUAAGACUGGACUGCUUGAGUGCGGGAGAGGUGAGUGGAAUUCCCAGUGUAGAGGUGAAAUUCGUAGAUAUUGGGAAGAACACCAGUGGCGAAGGCGGCUCACUGGCCCGCAACUGACGCUGAGGCGCGAAAGCGUGGGGAGCAAACAGG
This 253-nucleotide ribosomal RNA is filed under the name uncultured bacterium. Its description in RNAcentral is "partial 16S ribosomal RNA". It matches the Rfam family "Bacterial small subunit ribosomal RNA", at positions 524 to 776 of the family's 1533-position model. The record is from RNAcentral.